UGUGUACACCCCUUUCACGGUUCAUCUAAAACAAAACCAGACAGAGGCAUCACACCAGUUUUGAGCCGGGAACUUUGGUUGCGCCAACAGUUGUCAGUUCCGAUAGGUGAAGCUGUAUGCAGAACAUGUGUAUCUAAACACAAGGAAGAUCUCAGUCUUGGUGAACAAGUUGUGGAAGAAAUAAAAGACAGAGUUCAGCAGCUGACCACAUCAACUAAUGCCUCAUUACCUCCACCUAACUUUAGAGACCUCAC
Saccostrea cuccullata (small rock oyster) is the source of this 254-nucleotide long non-coding RNA. RefSeq lists it as uncharacterized. NCBI's taxonomy places the organism in Eukaryota, Metazoa, Mollusca, Bivalvia, Ostreida, Ostreidae. The transcript has 3 exons. The record is from RefSeq and is a predicted model, not a curated record.